GCGAAAGUAGCUCAGUUGGUAGAGCGUCAGCCUUCCAAGCUGAAUGUCGCCAGCUUCGAACCUGGUCUUUCGCU
RNAcentral lists this transfer RNA (74 nucleotides) under Tenacibaculum finnmarkense. RNAcentral's name for it is "tRNA-Gly". It matches the Rfam family "tRNA". Rfam says of the family: Transfer RNA (tRNA) molecules are approximately 80 nucleotides in length. Their secondary structure includes four short double-helical elements and three loops (D, anti-codon, and T loops). Further hydrogen bonds mediate the characteristic L-shaped molecular structure. tRNAs have two regions of fundamental functional importance: the anti-codon, which is responsible for specific mRNA codon recognition, and the 3' end, to which the tRNAs corresponding amino acid is attached (by aminoacyl-tRNA synthetases). tRNAs cope with the degeneracy of the genetic code in two manners: having more than one tRNA (with a specific anti-codon) for a particular amino acid; and 'wobble' base-pairing, i.e. permitting non-standard base-pairing at the 3rd anti-codon position. The record is from RNAcentral. Lineage: Bacteria; Pseudomonadati; Bacteroidota; Flavobacteriia; Flavobacteriales; Flavobacteriaceae.